GAGUUACAGUUUCCUGGAGGAAGUGGAUACUUUCCUAAGCACUUGGGCUAUAUCAGAGAACAGAAUAAUACCAUACAUUCCAGAAAAUGUUCUCAUCUUCAGCUUAAUAGUAAAACCCUGAACAAAAAAAGUUUUGGCCGGGUGCGGUAGCUCACGCCUGUAAUCCCAGCACUUUGGGAGGCCGAGGCGGGCGGAUCACGAGGUCAGGAGAUCGAGAUUAUCCUGGCUACAGUGAAACUCCAUCUCUACUAAAAAUACAAAAAAUUAGCCGGGCGUGAUGGCGGGCGCCUGUAGUCCCAGCUACUCGGGAGGCUGAAGCAGGAGAAUGGCGUGAACCCGGGAGGCAGAGCUUGCAGUGAGCCGAGAUCGCGGCACUGCACUCUAGCCUGGGCAACAGACUCUGUCUCAAAAAAAUAAAAAAUAAAAAAUAAAAGUUUUUGCUUCAGAACACCUUGUGGAGCUGUUGAAACUUCUGGCGAGGGCGUCACCUGUGUGAUGUGGGGUGAGAAGUCUUCUUCAUUCUAUCCACAGAAACCAUAGAAUGUGGCUUUCAUCAGUUGGUUGACCAGGUUGGCUUAGGUGUUAUAGUGCCAGCAACAUUUCCAUGAGCUUCCUUGCUCAGUGCCUCUCUGCCCACCUGCACUUUGUGUCAUUUCUAGGCUCCCCAUCGUUGCAGACAGAUGGAAUCACGGCCACUCCUGUCCCACCUCCACCUCCCCCCAAAAGCAAGCCCUAUGAGGGCAGCCAGAGGAACUCCACUGAGCUCGCUCCCCCACUGCCUGUCCGAAGAGAAGCCAAAGCACCACCCCCUCCACCUCCAAAGGCUCGGAAGUCUGGCAUCCCUACUUCCGAGCCUGGAUCCCAGUAAGGAUCUUGCCCUCCCUGCAACACCGAGUGCCUUAGACAGCUGCUGCCUGAGAACUGGCCUCCAGCCAGUGUCCUCAUUCCAUGGGGCUCCCUGCUGACUGCAUUUCCGGAUCUGGGAUGAUGUUUACCAGCCCAAAACCGGUCAUGUUCUUCCAAAAGCUUCUCUUUGAUAGAAGUUUGAGGCCAUGCCACCUCCUUUCCAGUCCAUAUGGAAUUCCAGAAUCAGUCACAGCCUCUGAAUUUUUCCAAGAGAUUGCAUUCAUCAUUGUUAAAUGUCAGCCUGUACGGCAGAGACGUGGUAGUCUGCACAAGCCUGGACAAGUUCUUCCACAUUGAUGGUGGAGCAACCCCUGUAAUCUACUCCUUGGAAGGAUUUUUUGCUUUGCUUAUGAAAAGCUGUGCUUGAGACUUAGGUACUUUUCUCACGUGGACACACUGAUCCCAUCCCAUAUUGCACCUUGGAAGAGAUGGAUAUCAAAUACACUUUGGUAGCUGAAAUAAUCAUAUCUUUCUGAUGUCUGUUGUAUCUCCUUUGAGGAAAAGAACACACAUUUUUAAUGGAGAUUGGCUGCUUUCAGGUAUGUGUGGCUAUCAUUGAAAGAGCAUGGACUCAAACGUCAGCCCUGAGUUCUUGAGUCCACCCAACUCCCGUCUUUCUUGUGGCAAAGGAAAGCUGCUGUCUCCCUCUCCCACCACACUCCUGACUAAUGGCCUUCACUGCACUGCAGUCACUCCUUCCCUACGGACUUCUUUGAAGCUCUUCCUUUUGCACAUACGGCUUUUUUUUUUUUUUUUUUUUUUUUUUUUUGUCCUAUUACCUCCUCUGAGCGCAAAUCACUGGCUACAAGGGACUUACCAGUCUGGAUUCAGCAGCUUCUUUUCUAGAACCCAUUUGGGUGACUCAGCAGCCGCAUCUGCUACCUGAUUUUAUCCUGGAGAAUACAGUGCAAUAUUUCUCUUUGAUU
This 1832-nucleotide small RNA is filed under the name Pongo abelii (Sumatran orangutan). RNAcentral's name for it is "retained intron". The record is from RNAcentral. Lineage: Eukaryota; Metazoa; Chordata; Mammalia; Primates; Hominidae.